Molecule: ribosomal RNA, 559 nt
Filed under: uncultured bacterium
Lineage: Bacteria
Description: bacterial SSU rRNA
Rfam family: Bacterial small subunit ribosomal RNA
Source: RNAcentral
GGGAAACUGCCUGAUGGAGGGGGAUAACUACUGGAAACGGUAGCUAAUACCGCAUAACGUCGUAAGACCAAAGAGGGGGACCUUCGGGCCUCUUGCCAUCAGAUGUGCCCAGAUGGGAUUAGCUAGUAGGUGGGGUAACGGCUCACCUAGGCGACGAUCCCUAGCUGGUCUGAGAGGAUGACCAGCCACACUGGAACUGAGACACGGUCCAGACUCCUACGGGAGGCGGCAGUGGGGAAUAUUGCACAAUGGGCGCAAGCCUGAUGCAGCCAUGCCGCGUGUAUGAAGAAGGCCUUCGGGUUGUAAAGUACUUUCAGCGGGGAGGAAGGUGUUGAGGUUAAUAACCUCAGCAAUUGACGUUACCCGCAGAAGAAGCACCGGCUAACUCCGUGCCAGCAGCCGCGGUAAUACGGAGGGUGCAAGCGUUAAUCGGAAUUACUGGGCGUAAAGCGCACGCAGGCGGUCUGUCAAGUCGGAUGUGAAAUCCCCGGGCUCAACCUGGGAACUGCAUUCGAAACUGGCAGGCUGGAGUCUUGUAGAGGGGGGUAGAAUUCCAGGU